AAAAAAAAAAAAAGGAACAUACCCCUUGGAAUCUUUGGCCAAUAGAUUCACCAACGAGAGCUACUCCUACAUUGUUUUCUUAUUACUUAUUUCUCAGUCUAUUUGCCUUGCUAGACCUUCAUGAUUCCUUCUCUUGAGGAAAGGUAGAAAGUAAAUUCACUUCCCUAUACUGAAUGUCCAGUGUAGUUUCUGGCACAUCAGUGUUCUCAGUGCCUGGUAACUUCUUGAUUGAGAACCAGAUGACUGCUGGAAGAAGCAUGGUAUGUGUCUGACUGACAUGAACAAUGCUCCUUGUCGUAUGCAUUUUCUGCAUUAUUUCUUUUUAUCUACAUCAGCAGUCUGCCUUUAAGGUAUAGGUCACUAUCUGGCAAUUGUAGGUAUUUUUUAAUGAAAAGCCUCAUUAUGAUAAUGUUUGUGGUAUAAAGAAUUUAUCUAAAUUUAUAUCCCUCUGAUGAAUAUAUCUUCAGUUGAGUACUCUCAACAAAACGAUUAGAUUAUUCUUACGAUGGGUAGAGUUUAUAAUUUUGCAAGGAUUAGGCAAAUAGCACACACACAGGAACAGAUUGGGCACAUGCCCCUUCCCCGCCCCCCCACAAGAGCUUUAAAGCAGUACAUUCUGCUCUAUGGAUGAUUGCCUCCUCUGUAAUCCAGUGGCAUAUGGCUAGGCUUGGGCAAGCAGGUGUCUGUACCUAAUCUGGCAUGUAUUGUCUCAGUUCAGGUGCUCGGCCAGGCUGAUGUUUACAGCUGCGCUGUGGUUGAAAUUCUAAAGCCAUAGCAGUUUAUUCUGAAUCCAAUGUACCUCUAGUCUAAAAUGUGGCAUUGUUGGCUUCUGGAAUUAUUUUCUAGUCUAUAAGAUGAUAGUAAAACUUAUUCUUACAGGGACUGUGAUAAGCAAAGUGAAGUUCAGUUCUAAAUUGUCAUAAAUGAAGUUAAAAAAGCUUUUUGUCUGUGUGGUGUUAGGUGGCAGAAAUGUUAUUAUAAGUAAGCCCCAAUUUCUUCUAGACACACUAUUGCCUAGCUCUAGUGAAUUGAUGAUUCCUUCAUAGAAGUAGGUAUAUCAAUCCUUUGACCCCUUGGAAAACUAGCAGUAUGUUCUAUUGGAUAAAACUCUUUCCAAGGAAUUUCUAGCUGGCUAGAUUAAAUUUGCCUUUGGUGGUAUAGCAUGUGGACUUGUAUCUUGAUAGUGAUUCCAUUUAAAUAUAUAGGAAAAGCUCGAAAUGUGAUAAAUUAUCUGUCUAUUUUACACAACUAAUCCUUCUUGGAAAUCACAGAAAACCUGGGGUAAAAUGCAUGAUGUUGGUAAUCAGAACUGAGGAAAGCUUAACCACUGUGAUAGUCAGGCCAAAUCUAGGAAUAUCUGUAUAUCCACAGUCCUUUUUUUCCUUAGGGAUCCUACCUAUAUCCUAUCUGCCUGAGGAUAUCAACUCAAGACAGAACUCUAGGUGGCCUUGAUCUAAAUUGCUUGACCUUACCAUCUGCAUUUGACCUAAAGCAGUCAGGCUUUUUUGGAAUCUGACCCAUUAAAUGACCUGGUACAAGUACUUUAUAUCCAACUCAUGAUGGUGACAUAAUGGACUGAUCAGAUCCUCUCUUUUAGGAAAUUUUAAAUUCAAGGUAGAGAGAAUUAUUUGAUAGGGACAGAAGUCAAAUACUUAGCCAGAAAAAAAGGUAGACAAAGAUGAGUCAGUAGAAGCUGUGAGUAAGCAAGAGUGAUAAAUAAGUAAAAGCUAAGUCAUGAAAUUUUCAAAAAGUGUGUGCGUAGGCCUACAGAUAUUUUACUUCAUAUCUGCAGGGGAAGAGGAUGAUCAACAAAUUACCACUGCGAGAGGCAUAAGGAACUAACCAAAUUUUUGCACAUCUGUCUAAUCCUGGGAACUUGAAAUCACAACUUGAAAUCCUCAGUCUGUGUUCCUAUACUUUGCAUGAGGCCCAGUGAAGCUGCUUUCCAUUAAUUACCAUGAGGCCCAGCCACACGGCAUACCUUGUUCCUUGUUUUCAUGUGGAGCCUAUGAUAAUGCCCCCUCUGACCCUCCUCCCUCACACACACAACCUCACAGUUACUGGAGAUGACUUGAGUCAGUCUCUGUUCUUUGUAGCCAAAGGAUCCUAAUUUACACACCUGCUCUGUGAGUUCAUCUCUUAUUAUGUUGGCUGUGCAACCAAGGCGAGGGCUGAUGCACGAUAGCAAUUUCAUGCCCACGUCAAAAGUGUACAGACUCUGAAUAGGAAAGGCAGUUCACCUCUAAUUGUUUAAGAAAGUUGACGGGGUACAGGGAGGGCCCAGAGAAAGAUGGGUAACCCUGAUGCCAUGACAUUCGAGGACACUACAUGGAAAUGUGCAUUUAGUGGGAAAAAAAAGCAUAGGAACAAUAUGUUUUUCUUUGCUCACUGCUAAAUUAUGAGUUCCUGAGGCAUUCUUCUCGAUGUGCCUCACCAAUGCCCGGGAGGGGGCUUUGCACACAGCAGGUGGAGCACUAAAUUGGUCACAUGAUGUGGCCCAGCCAUUGGUUUGUUUAGUAUCGGCUUUGAAUUCGCUGGUAAAAAUACACUUGUAGGCAGACUAAACUGUUAACUGAAGAGACAGACAUGAAUCAGAGACAAGAGUAGGAUUUCCAGAAGCUUCUGGGAGAGGUAGAUAUAGACAGCGCAAAAUAGUCUAGAAACUAGAGGAGCUAAUUUCAAAGAGCCAGAUAAGAAACUGCCUUCCUCAUUCAGGGUACAAAGGACCAGAACAUACUGUUAUCGGGAACAUCUGCAGCCCACAGUACAGCGUAGCCUUUGGCCAGAGAGCAUGAUGUAAGGAAUGGGUAGUGGAGGAGAACUGGCAAAACACAAAUUCUGGAUUCUAAUUUUAAAAUGGCAGAGCAUAUAUGGCAUUAUCUUCCUUGUCUCUCACAAAGCAUGCAACUGCACUAGGAGAACAAAAAGAAAAAACAUGAGCCCCACCUUUAAAGAAACUAGACGUGCAGCCCCAAACCACAGUAUGCAAUGAGGAAGAGACAAAGCCAGUUGAAGAAAGAUAACCACAGCUGCACAUCCCAGACAAACCAGUAAUGCCCAGUUGAGACUAAUGGGAGCCAGGGUGCGGGCUGGCAGCAAGAGCUUCCUUGGCCCUGAUUAGGCAGAAAGAGGAAGCAGGGUAAUGCGCUGAAGGGAGAAUCACACGGAAAAGAUUGAAAACACAGGCAAAAGCUUACCAGGAAAACACAAACACUAGAGUAAGAUUGCAUCUUUAACAUCAGACAUGAUUGGAUUUGGAGGACAAAGCUUUAAAUAAGGCAAAGAAGGAUGAUUCAUAAUAGCAGUAUACUACCACCAUCUAUAAGGAAAACCAACAGGAAAUAUGAAAUUUCCUACAGGAAAUACUUACAUGAUUGUGGUAGGAAAAUAUUAAUUCACUUCUCUUAGUCCAGGAGAUCAGGUAGACAAGAGAUAAGAAAAAGAAAACCCAAAUAAAAAUAAUAAAUAAAGCAAAUAUUUGGUAUUUGCCACUUUGUGUUCUGAAAGGUAAGAAUAGACCUUUUUAAAUGCUGAAUAAAACAUUCACAAAAAUAGCUUAGAAAGGAAAUUGAAUGAAUUUCAAAAGGUGAAAGGAAGGCAUACAGCAUUCUCUAAUCUUAUUGCAAUAAAACUAAAAGUUAAGGAUGUUUAAUUUAUCAUUUGAACAUUUAAAAAUUUUUAUUUAAAUAACUCUUGGAUCACAGAGGAAACCAAAGAGGUUAUAGAAAAUCUAGGGAAAAAAGCACAGUGAAAACACAUCAUUCUCAGAACCCAUGGGACACAGCAAAAGCAGAAUUCAGAAGCACCUCUCUUACUGAAGAAAGAAAAUGAAUAUCUAACUCAAAAAGUUAGAAAAAUGAUCAACAAACCUUAAACAGCAGAAGGUAGGAAUAAAGAUAAAAGUUAAUGGACUGGAAAAAGGAAAAUUGAUCAGACUAAUAAAUAAAAGAGACAGUUAUUUAAAAUAAAUAGGUAAAUCUUUAGCUAACCUAAUAAAAUUAGAAAGUGGGAGGGGAAGAUAGCAUAGAUGAGAAAUAAACAUGUGGAAAUGGUAGAAACAGAAAAGAAUAAAAGAAUCAUAAACUAUUUUGCUCAAUCCUGUACAAAUUGGGAACCUGCAAGAAAGGGUGAUUUUUCAAGGAAAACAGAAAUGAUCAAUACUCAUCUCAGAUAAUUAGAAAAUCUAAACUAUCACAGAAUAACUUCCACCCCAACCUCCAGCCCCCUCCAGAAAAGCCUGAGUGAGGCCCAGGUGAUUUAACAGGUGGCUGCUAUCAAUUUCUCAGGAACAGAUGAGGCCAAUCUUCCCAAAUAUAUGUGCUUUAAUAAGUAUGGAGAUCUCUGAGAAGAGACAAAAAUUCCCAAACAGUUGUUAGCCCUAGGGAAUGGAGGUAGGACUAAGGGACAGUAUUGGAAGCAAGUCUUAACUUUUUUCUGUCUUUUGUGUCUUUCUAUUUUAUGCCAUAGGUGUAUAUUACUUACCCAAGUGCGAGGAAUUUAGAAUAUAUUUGUUUCACGUUUGGACAAGUUCACAAAACCAUUUGGCUUUUGUUAUUUUGUUCGGUUUACCUUGAUUUUUUUGGUAGGUAAACAUGUUUAAAUGGCCUCCCUACAGAUGUCCCACCCUAAUCCUGAGAACCUGUGAAUAUGAUGAGAUCUGACUUCUGUGAUUAUGUUCCAUAUCACAGUUGACCUCAACAUAAGGAGAUUAUCUUGGGUUAUCUGAGUGAAGCUGACCUAGCCCUAUGAGAGCUUCCUUUGGCUGAUGGCAGAGGGCAGUCAAGGAGAUAGGAAGUAUUGGAAGGUGUGACUGUGCAGUUGUGGCUUUGAAGAUGGAGGAGAUCACAGGGGAAGGAAUGCAGGUGGUUCUGAGGAGCUGAGGGCAGCCCCCCGCCCCCCAGGUGAUAGCCUUAAAGGA
Molecule: long non-coding RNA, 4918 nt
Organism: Leopardus geoffroyi (Geoffroy's cat)
Lineage: Eukaryota; Metazoa; Chordata; Mammalia; Carnivora; Felidae
Exons: 2
Source: RefSeq, a predicted model, not a curated record